This 547-nucleotide ribosomal RNA is filed under the name Tephritis conura. RNAcentral describes it as "partial large subunit ribosomal RNA". It matches the Rfam family "Bacterial large subunit ribosomal RNA", at positions 1808 to 2620 of the family's 2925-position model. The record is from RNAcentral. Lineage: Eukaryota; Metazoa; Arthropoda; Insecta; Diptera; Tephritidae.
CAAAAACAUGUCUUUUUGAGUUAUUUUUAAAGUCUAACCUGCCCAAUGAAAUAUUUUUAAUGGCCGCAGUAAUUUGACUGUGCAAAGGUAGCAUAAUAAUUAGUCUUUUANUUGAAGGCUUGUAUGAAUGGUUGGACGAAGUAUAAUCUGUUUCAUUUAAAUUUAUUAUAGAAUUUUAUAUUUUAGUAAAAAAGCUAAAAUUUUUUUAAAAGACGAGAAGACCCUAUAAAUCUUUAUAAUUUAUAUUUAUAUAUAUACAUAUUGAUUUAUUUUAUUUUAAUAAUUUAGAUUAUUUUAUUGGGGUGAUAUUAAAAUUUAAAUAACUUUUAAUUUUUUUUUAACAUUAAUUUAUGAUUUAUUGAUCCAUUAAUAGUGAUUAUAAGAAUAAGUUACUUUAGGGAUAACAGCGUAAUUUUUUUGGAGAGUUCUUAUUGAUAAAAAAGUUUGCGACCUCGAUGUUGGAUUAAGAUAUAAUUUUAGGUGUAGUUGCUUAAAUAANAANNCNGUUCGACUUUUAAAUUCUUACAUGANCUGAGUCCAAACCGGA